Molecule: ribosomal RNA, 253 nt
Filed under: uncultured bacterium
Lineage: Bacteria
Description: partial 16S ribosomal RNA
Rfam family: Bacterial small subunit ribosomal RNA
Source: RNAcentral
UACGAGGGGGGCAAGCGUUGUUCGGAAUUACUGGGCGUAAAGCGCACGUAGGCGGCUUUGUAAGUUAGAGGUGAAAGCCCGGGGCUCAACUCCGGAAUUGCCUUUAAGACUGCAUCGCUAGAAUUGUGGAGAGGUAAGUGGAAUUCCGAGUGUAGAGGUGAAAUUCGUAGAUAUUCGCAAGAACACCAGUGGCGAAGGCGGCUUACUGGUCCGGUUCUGACGCUGAGGCGCGAAAGCGUGGGGAGCAAACAGG